GAUUUCCUCCACAAUCCCGUGCUUUGAGAGGAGAUGCCUUCCUCUGUCGUGUUCGCAUUGCCUACACCGGCACUGGCCAGUGGUGAGAGCCACUUUCCCUCUAUGUUGAUCCAAACCUUUGCAUUGUUAAACAUGAGUUUUUGUUCAAGACUUACAUAUGUUGUCUGCUGGCCAUCGAGCCGUGGCUAUCUGUGACAUUUGAUCAGCAGAGUAUGGUGCCAUUCUUAGUUACUUUAGGCAUAUUUGUGUGUGUAUUAGGAUUUCUAAACGUGUUCGGCUACUUUUAUCAGUCUUCAUUAAAUUUAGUUCUCGUGAAAACUAUUGCUAUGUCUUCUGCAGAACAUCAAUUGAAAAUUUGUGUUUGCUACACUGCCUCAUUGCUUCAAAUAUAGCUUUUCUUAACACAUGUAAUCUUUGAACUGGAUCUAUUACCUUGUUUAGUUGCUUUGAGUUGAAGCUUUGAACAAUAAGAUGUUUAGAUCAGUGGCAAUAUUGAUUGGACAGUACUAUGCUCAUAUAUGUGUAAGCAAUAAAGCCUGUAUUUUAUCUCCGCGCAUAUGGCUUGUUCUGCUGGAAUAAUGCCCUUGUAGACCUAAUCAAGUAUGAGUUUCUGCUCUUCGUGAAUGACUUUGUGAAUUACUUGUUCUAUGCGUUGAAUGAAUGUGUGGUUUUCUUUCUGCAUGCUAAAUGCUUCGGGGGUAGCUGUCUCUCUACACGCGGCUUACUAAUUACAGAAAGUGUGUGUCUCUUGUAUCUUUCCCCAACUGUGAUCUCUGUUUUUAUUCUCAUUGGUGGCCAGGGAUUUGGCUCUUGCAUGACGACUCGCCGAAGAUGAUGUCUCCAUUUCCUCCCAGUUUGGUGCCUCGUGCACGCAUGCAGUAACUGGAAAUAAUGUCGAACAACGCUAACCACCGCUGGAACCCCUCUCCUAUGGACACUAGAU
Molecule: long non-coding RNA, 943 nt
Filed under: Triticum aestivum (bread wheat)
Lineage: Eukaryota; Viridiplantae; Streptophyta; Magnoliopsida; Poales; Poaceae
Description: long non-coding RNA (TAES_LNC009257)
Source: RNAcentral